AGAGGGUGCAAACGUUGUUCGGAAUUACUGGGCGUAAAGCGCGUGUAGGCGGCUAUGUAAGUCGGGCGUGAAAUCCCACGGCUCAACUGUGGAAGUGCACUCGAAACUGCGUAGCUAGAGUCCUGGAGAGGAAGGUGGAAUACUUGGUGUAGAGGUGAAAUUCGUAGAUAUCAAGUGGAACACCAGUGGCGAAGGCGGCCUUCUGGACAGUGACUGACGCUGAGACGCGAAAGCGUGGGGAGCAAACAGGAUUAGAUACCCUGGUAGUCCACGCCGUAAACGAUGAGUGCUAGGUGUCACGGGCUUUGACCCUCGUGGUGCCGCAGCUAACGCGCUAAGCACUCCGCCUGGGGAGUACGGCCGCAAGGCUA
Molecule: ribosomal RNA, 371 nt
Filed under: uncultured bacterium
Lineage: Bacteria
Description: bacterial SSU rRNA
Rfam family: Bacterial small subunit ribosomal RNA
Source: RNAcentral